This 163-nucleotide ribosomal RNA is filed under the name Hypocreaceae sp. RNAcentral's name for it is "partial large subunit ribosomal RNA". It matches the Rfam family "Eukaryotic large subunit ribosomal RNA", at positions 99 to 261 of the family's 3401-position model. The record is from RNAcentral. Lineage: Eukaryota; Fungi; Ascomycota; Sordariomycetes; Hypocreales; Hypocreaceae.
CGGCAACAGCUCAAAUUUGAAAUCUGGCCCCUAGGGUCCGAGUUGUAAUUUGUAGAGGAUGCUUUUGGUGAGGUGCCGCCCGAGUUCCCUGGAACGGGACGCCACAGAGGGUGAGAAUCCCGUAUGUGACUGGGUGCCUUCGCCUAUGUGAAGCUCUUUCGAC